GGGACACGUGAAACCCUGUGGGAAGCAGGAGGGACCACCCUCCAAGGCUAAAUACUACCUAGUGACCGAUAGCGUAUAGUACCGUGAGGGAAAGGUGAAAAGAACCCCGGGAGGGGAGUGAAAUAGAACCUGAAACCCUGCACUUACAAGCUGUGGAAGCACAUUUCUUGUGUGACCGCGUACUUUUUGUAGAACGGGCCAACGAGUUACGUUAAGUAGCAAGGUUAAGCACUUAAGGUGCGGAGCCGUAGCGAAAGCGAGUUUUAACUGAGCGUUCAGUUACUUGACGUAGACCCGAAACCGGGCGACCUACCCAUGAGCAGGAUGAAGCGAAAGUAAAAUUUCGUGGAGGUCCGAACCCACGAGCGUUGAAAAGCUCGGGGAUGACUUGUGGGUAGCGGUGAAAUUCCAAUCGAGCCCGGAGAUAGCUGGUUCUCCCCGAAAUAGCUUUAGGGCUAGCCUCAAGGUGAGAGAUACGGAGGUAGAGCACUGAAUGUCCUAGGGGGUAUUGCACCUACCGAAGACUAUCAAACUCCGAAUGCCGUCAUCUUAUACUUGGGAGUCAGACUGUGGGUGAUAAGAUUCAUAGUCGAAAGGGCAACAGCCCAGAUCGUCAGCUAAGGUCCCUAAAUGUAAGUUAAGUGGUAAAGGAUGUGGGAUUGCACAGACAACCAGGAUGUUGGCUUAGAAGCAGCCACUCAUUCAAAGAGUGCGUAAUAGCUCACUGGUCGAGUGAUCCUGCGCCGAAGAUUUCCGGGGCUAAAACUUACUACCGAAGCUACGGCAUCAGUAAUGAUGGGUAGGGGAG
This 808-nucleotide ribosomal RNA is filed under the name Clostridioides difficile. Its description in RNAcentral is "partial 23S ribosomal RNA". It matches the Rfam family "Bacterial large subunit ribosomal RNA", at positions 419 to 1236 of the family's 2925-position model. Lineage: Bacteria; Bacillati; Bacillota; Clostridia; Peptostreptococcales; Peptostreptococcaceae. The record is from RNAcentral.